ACGAACGCUGGCGGCGUGCCUAAUACCUGCCAGUUGCGCGCUUAAGGUUGGUACUUGUCCCAACUGGAUGAGCAGCGAACGGGUUAGUAACGCGUGGGGAAUCUGCCUUUGAGCGGGGGUCAACAUUUGGAAACGAAUGCUAAUACCGCAUAAAAACUUUAAACACAAGUUUUAAGUUUGAAAGAUGCAAUUGCAUCACUCAAAGAUGAUCCCGCGUUGUAUUAGCUAGUUGGUGAGGUAAAGGCUCACCAAGGCGAUGAUACAUAGCCGACCUGAGAGGGUGAUCGGCCACAUUGGGACUGAGACAAGGCCCAAAAAAAUACGGGAGGCAGCAGUAGGGAAUCAUCGGAAAUGGACGAAAGUCUGACCGAGCAACGCCGCGGGAGUGAAGAAGGUUGUCGGAUCGUAAAACUCUGUUGGUAGAGAAGAACGAUGGUGAGAGUGGAAAGCUCAUCAAGUGACGGUAACUACCCAGAAAGGGACGGCUAACUACGUG
Molecule: ribosomal RNA, 496 nt
Filed under: uncultured bacterium
Lineage: Bacteria
Description: partial 16S ribosomal RNA
Rfam family: Bacterial small subunit ribosomal RNA
Source: RNAcentral